UAGAUAGUCGAAAACUCAAUG
RNAcentral lists this non-coding RNA (21 nucleotides) under Caenorhabditis elegans. Lineage: Eukaryota; Metazoa; Nematoda; Chromadorea; Rhabditida; Rhabditidae. The record is from RNAcentral.